UACGUAGGGUGCGAGCGUUGUCCGGAAUUAUUGGGCGUAAAGGGCUCGUAGGCGGUUUGUCGCGUCGGGAGUGAAAACCAGGUGCUUAACACCUGGCUUGCUUUCGAUACGGGCAGACUAGAGGUAUUCAGGGGAGAACGGAAUUCCUGGUGUAGCGGUGAAAUGCGUAGAUAUCAGGAGGAACACCGAUGGCGAAGGCAGCUUCCUGGCCCAAUUCUGACGCUGAGGUGCGAAAGCGUGGGUAGCGAACGGG
This 253-nucleotide ribosomal RNA is filed under the name uncultured bacterium. Its description in RNAcentral is "partial 16S ribosomal RNA". It matches the Rfam family "Bacterial small subunit ribosomal RNA", at positions 524 to 776 of the family's 1533-position model. The record is from RNAcentral.